CUUAUUGAUGUCAAAGCGAUACUACAUGCAUCGUGAUAUAGUUUAACUUAAGAAAUGUGUGAACAGAAUCGCUUUUUGGCAUUUAUAAAUCAUAUUUACUUUAAAUGUGUAGAACUGUAAAAUAUCUGUAAUACUACUGGGUCUAAUGACGUCAGCUAACUACUGUGAUGUUCUGUGGCAAUGUUAGAGAUCGUAGUGUUUUGAAAACCAGUCACAUGAAAUUUACUUCCUGAUUUAUCACUAGCAAAUUCGUCUGGUAGUCUUCAACCCAAACGUUUUUAAAUCUUCGGAGUCGAGUAAAUGAUUGUGUAUGUGCCCAGCUGAAGUGACAUUCCCUGACGAUUCGUAUUCGCAGAGAAUGAAACAGAAGACAAAAUAAGAGAGAAAUGGGAAGAAAUCACGUUGGAAUAAUCUAUUUUCUCGUGUGAAAAAAACAAAAACCGUUUGAGGGCAGUCUACGAGCAAGACGGUGGACACAUUGACCACAUUUUCAAGUGCUCACCAGAUAACCACAGGACCUCCGCGAAACUGGCAGCACAUGUCUAAGACCGAUUCGGUGUUUUCUUUAGUUCACUGCUCUCCUCCGACACGGCGAAUUAACCUGGCCUACACGGUAAUGAAUAAACAACAAAAAGGGCCUGGUCCCGGCAGGGUACCUGUUGUCGUAUUGUAAGGAAAAUAGUCACGUGGUGAUCACGUUCGUCUGUGUAUAUACAAGUGCAUGUCUUUACACAUGCGACAACAGUUUGUGUUUCGUUUUUACUCCUUGAUACAUAUGUGGCUUCUCUAGAAUUUGAAAAUAAUGAAAAUAAAUAUUUUAAUUUUUAUUAUUUUGUGGUUCAGUUCAGUUAUAGAGAAAUACUUGACUAGUUUUGUCAAACAGAACAGUUGAGGACUAUAUUUGUCGCAAUAUAUCUGUAAC
Long non-coding RNA from Gigantopelta aegis, 922 nucleotides. RefSeq lists it as uncharacterized. The record is from RefSeq and is a predicted model, not a curated record. The transcript has 4 exons. Lineage: Eukaryota; Metazoa; Mollusca; Gastropoda; Neomphalida; Peltospiridae.